This 221-nucleotide ribosomal RNA is filed under the name uncultured bacterium. RNAcentral's name for it is "partial 16S ribosomal RNA". It matches the Rfam family "Bacterial small subunit ribosomal RNA", at positions 109 to 334 of the family's 1533-position model. The record is from RNAcentral.
AGUAAUGUAUGGGGUCGUGCCGAUAGAGGGGGAUAACUACUGGAAACGGUGGCUAAUACCGCAUAAUGUCUACGGACCAAAGCAGGGGCUCUUCGGACCUUGCACUAUCGGAUGAACCCAUAUGGGAUUAGCUAGUAGGUGGGGUAAAGGCUCACCUAGGCGACGAUCUCUAGCUGGUCUGAGAGGAUGAUCAGCCACACUGGGACUGAGACACGGCCCAG